AAGUUUUGAGACUCUUCUCCUUCACUUUCCCCUCUUUUUUCUCUUCUUCAACAGACUAAAGAGAAACGGCUCCACCACCAUUUUGAGCCAAACUUCGACUUCAGAGGUUCCUCUUGUGCCGCGACGGUCAUGGAGACAUGGGAGCAAAGCGCACGGAUAUGAGGCGAGCCAUGCGCGAGUCGGUGAUCGUGCAUAGUGCGUGGAGGCUGCUGGUGGCCACUGCUGCGGCGCGAAACAUAUGAAAACCCUAGGUUUUCCGAAAUUGGGCCUAUUAGUGUUGGGCCAUUUGUAACUUGACUUGUAUUUUGGGCCGUUUUAUGUUUUAUCUUUGAAUAUAUAUGGGCCCGGGCUAAAAAUUGGGUCUACACCUUCUAUUUAA
This is a long non-coding RNA of Gossypium arboreum, 379 nucleotides long. RefSeq lists it as uncharacterized. Lineage: Eukaryota; Viridiplantae; Streptophyta; Magnoliopsida; Malvales; Malvaceae. The transcript has 2 exons. The record is from RefSeq and is a predicted model, not a curated record.